This 464-nucleotide ribosomal RNA is filed under the name uncultured bacterium. RNAcentral describes it as "partial 16S ribosomal RNA". It matches the Rfam family "Bacterial small subunit ribosomal RNA", at positions 28 to 506 of the family's 1533-position model. The record is from RNAcentral.
GACGAACGCUGGCGGCGUGCUUAACACAUGCAAGUCGAACGGAAAGGCCCUGCUUGCAGGGUAUUCGAGUGGCGAACGGGUGAGUAACACGUGGGUGAUCUGCCCUGCACUUCGGGAUAAGCCUGGGAAACUGGGUCUAAUACCGGAUAGGAGCCAUUUUUAGUGUGAUGGUUGGAAAGUUUUUUCGGUGUAGGAUGAGCUCGCGGCCUAUCAGCUUGUUGGUGGGGUAAUGGCCUACCAAGGCGGCGACGGGUAGCCGGCCUGAGAGGGUGGACGGCCACAUUGGGACUGAGAUACGGCCCAGACGCCUACGGGAGGCAGCAGUGGAGAAUAUUGCACAAUGGGCGCAAGCCUGAUGCAGCGACGCCGCGUGGGGGAUGACGGCCUUCGGGUUGUAAACUACUUUCGCUAGGGACGAAGCUUUUUGUGACGGUACCUAGAUAAGAAGCACCGGCUAACUACGU